GUUAGAGAGAGGGGGAGAGAUGAGGGAGAGAGAUGAGGGAGAGAGAGAGAGAGAGAGAGAGAGAGAGAGGGGUGUGUGUGUGUGUGUGUGUGUGUGUGUGUGUGUGUGAGAGAGAGAGAGAGAGAGAGAGAGAGAGAGAGAGAGAGAGAGAGAGAGAGAGAGAAGGGAAGAGGGAGAGGGGGGUUUAAGGGAGAGGUGGAGAUGGUGGAAAAUAAAGAUUGGUGAGGGGGAUUUGGUGGCAGAUGAAACAUCCCAUAGCUCCCCAGCUCUCACCAUCCAUGUGAGGAGAGUGAGCAAGGGACAUAGUCCCCCGACCUGACUAGGUCUAGGCUCUGCUCUCCUCACGGUCCUCACAAGAUACAAAGAGAUAUGUAAACGUGGAAGUGAGAGUUCUCUAGGCAGAGUUUUGGGUUUGGUUUGAGCUGAGUUGGUCAGUUGAUUAUUGAUUACUAUUUUAAGUUUUAAAAGUGGAUAGAGUCAAAAAGUCACAGAGGAUUGUGAUGGGAGCAAGUGGUCCGUCUGGCACCAUUCUGCUCAUGCAAGGAUUCGAGUGAUAGAAAGAGAAUAGAUCUUGCCACCGUGACUCGCCAUUGAGACUCUCCUCACCUGCUGGUUUUCAUCCUCUGAUAGGACAGAGAGGUACAGAUCAGGAGAGAGGGAGAAAAGGAGGGGGGCAGGGUGGGGUCAGGAGUUAAUUUGUCUGGAAAAGUAUUUAUCUUUUCGUCAUUGCUGUUAGGGUUUAGAUGUUUUUUGUUUAGUUAUCUGAGGAAUGUAGUGUUAGUAUAGGUUCCAAGGUGGAGGAUUCUUUGGAAUUCACUCUCACCCUUGAAACUGGAAGAUCUUAGAUUCUAUAAAGGGGGGGAAGGGGGGGGGUGAGAGGUUGUGUGCACAGAAGGAGCAUGGGCUCAGACUAUUCUCGGAAUGAUAUUGUGACAAGUCUGUGCGAAGGCAACUCGCUGGUUAGGUGUGGGUAAGAGAUACAGUGAUAGCCCCUGCUUUCAUCAGUUGACUUGGCGGUCCCAGUCGAGUCUCCAAGCUCAAUCUGUGUGUAAAAUUUAUGUGUUGGUAGGAAGUUUAAUGACUCAGCUCAAUUGGUAUGCUAUGCUGUCUAUCUUUUAGACUAUGUGUUUGUAGAGCAAAAUUUUGUAUAUAUUAUAUUACAGGGCUAGGGGAAGGUUAAAGGUUUUUGGCGUUAGGGUUAAAAUCACUGUCCAAAACCUUUGUAGGAACUCUUUUCCAACCUUUUGGAGUUAGCUAGACCAACAAAAAAAAAUGAAAAAUGAAAAAAAAAAUUUGGGGGGGUGAAGGCUUCCUACAGGUAAUACCCGGGUAUUAGGUUACGGGGCUAGGGAAAGGUUUAAGGUUUUUGGCUUUAGGGUUAAAAUCACUGUCCAAAACCUUUGUAGGAACUCUGUUCAAACCUUUUGGAGAUAGCUAGACCAAAAAAAAAUGAAAAAUGAAAAAAAAAAAUUUGGGGGGAGUGAAGGCUUCGGGUAUUAGGUUCGGGGACAGGGUAAGGUUUAAGGUUUUAAGCAUUAGGGUU
Non-coding RNA from Xyrichtys novacula (pearly razorfish), 1543 nucleotides. NCBI's taxonomy places the organism in Eukaryota, Metazoa, Chordata, Actinopteri, Labriformes, Labridae. The record is from the annotation of a GenBank genome assembly.